Salmo salar (Atlantic salmon) is the source of this 1012-nucleotide RNA transcript. It is a transcript of the gene named small ribosomal subunit protein mS40-like, with no coding region annotated. Lineage: Eukaryota; Metazoa; Chordata; Actinopteri; Salmoniformes; Salmonidae. The record is from RefSeq and is a predicted model, not a curated record.
AUGGCAGCGUCCAUACCAAAGUACAUAGAGCGCUAUGGAUAAGUCCAGUGUGGUCUGACUACAGGAGGAACCACAAAUGAGGGAUCCCCCCUUCAGAAGACACACAAGACCUGCAUUAGAUGAGACAAGAUAUGUGGGAACCCCCAUCCAAUUUGUCGAGACCCCAACGUCAUCAUCCACUAUCAGAAUGUGAAGCUGCAGCAACAGUUUAUCAGUCCAUAUACAGGCGUUGUGUAUGACCCCACACGGACAGGGCUACUACCCUUCCAGGUUCCUCAUGUGGACUUCACAGGGGAGGACUAUUCCAACUCCCAUAACGCAGUUGGUUUAACCCCUCCUCCCCCCACCGUGACCCCUUGGUACAGAUGGUACCACACCAUGCAGCUAGACGAGACUGAAGUGGCUCAAGUCAAGAAGACCUACAAGACCUAUUUGACAUAGACUAGGGCAUAUCAGAGGAAUCAUGGUGAAAAUUCUCUCACAUGCUUCGCUAACAAUAUGUAGACUAACAGUGACGUGCUUACUUACAGGCCCCUUCCCAACAAGGCAUAAAAAAAAUUAAAAAAAUAAAUGUGAGUAACAAUAACUUUUCUAUAUCCACGGGGUACCAGUACCGAGUCAAUAUGCAGAGGUACAAGGUAAUUGAAGUAGAUAUUUUUUAUUUGAUCUUUAACUAGCGAAGUCAGUUAAGAAAAAAUGUUUAUUUACAAUGACAGCCUACCCUGUACAAACCCUAACCACGCUGGACCAAUUGUGCACUGCCCUAUGGGACUCCCAAUCACGGCUGGUUGUGAUACAGCCUGGAAUCGAACCAGGGUCUGUAGUGACGCCUCUAGCACUGAGAUGCUGCGCCACUUGGGAGCCCGGAGAUACGCGUGUAACAGAAUGAUAAGUGAAUUAUCAUGUACAGUACAUGCUACAAUAUGGACCAUCAAUGGGAUAAAUCUGUCUAAACUGUUCAUUUGUAUUCAGAGACAAGUUGUACAAUAAAGACAUUAAGAUGCAAAAUCCA